Molecule: long non-coding RNA, 212 nt
Organism: Ipomoea nil (Japanese morning glory)
Lineage: Eukaryota; Viridiplantae; Streptophyta; Magnoliopsida; Solanales; Convolvulaceae
Exons: 2
Source: RefSeq, a predicted model, not a curated record
AAAAUUCAUAGAGAACCACGCAUAAGAUAACCAAACAGUAUUAUCAAACCGAUCCACGUCGCUCAACCAAAAGACAUCCGAAAGCAGCAGCAGGCUGAAAUCCAAAUCCAAUCCACGAUCCAAACUACAUCAAGUCAUGACAGACAUACCGGCAAUAAAUAAUCGGAAACAGAAAUCUUAAGCAACCGAUCAAUAUAAACGCGAAAUUUCCA